AUCACUAUGAUGCUGACAACAGUUAGGAUUGUUGCAAGCGUCAGGCACCCUUCCAGCUGAUCCAGCCCGUGGGGGCGACAACAGUUAGGAUUGUGAGUGAGAGAGAGAGAGAGAGAGAGAGGGAUCAACUUUGAAUAAUCCCACAAGUUUGACAAGUCUUGCCGUUCUUAUUAGUUGUCAAUGUUAUCCUUUAGACCUUGUUCUUAUUGAAAUGACCUAAAACUUUAUCCCCUUAUAGCUUUCAAAACAUGUUGUACAGAACCUUUCUCCUAAAACUUAUUUAAAUAAAUCCACUCCGAUGUAGUGCAUCUCAAAUAUGUUCAACUAGAAAGUAGUUAAAACUAUUUGGACAUCAGAAUCAACAGUGUGAAUAAAAAAAAACUUAAAGACUCGAAUGUUCAACCAACCAAAAUAAGGAAUCUCAUAUAUCUACCAGCAAUUACAUCAUCGACUCAGAAAAGGAACCUCAACAUCCCAACUAUGAAGAAAAAACAAUAAUAUAAACAAAUAGAAGAAAGGACAAGACCCUCGAGUGUGCAUUGCUUGGUGCGAGCUAGCUCAUCCAUCAAGACCCUUUAUUUCCUCGUUACCUAUAUCAUAUGGAUCUAGUGAGUCUAGCAAGUUCAAACAUCUCACUGACCUUUAGUACCAUGGACCUUCCAACUUUAAUAAAAUAAUAUCAAACUUUAACUUUCAACAUCAAAAUAUUUAAGUGAGUUUAUAUCAUUGAAUGUAGUCCCUUUUUUUCUUUUCCUCAACAUCUGUUCAUUUGGCCAAACUUUUACCCUAGUACUAGGCUUGAUAGCGUUCCUCGGUAUCCUCUAAGCCCGGUUCCACAAGCUUUGGUAAGGUUUCAGGUAUCCUCUAAGCCGGAUCCUUACCAUAAUACUAGGUUUGGUAGGGUUUCCCGGUAUCCUCUAAGUCAGGUUCCACUUGCCUUGGGUAAGGAUUCUAGCAUCCUCUAAGUUGGAUCCCACAUCCCCUUUUUUCCUCUGAUUUGAUGAAGGAUUAUGGUAUUCUCCAGCCGAACUCCUUUACUCGUCACAUUGCCACAUUCAUCAACAAGAAAAAUAGCUUACCUUUCAUGCAUUGAUAGUCAUAUAAAAAAUAUGAUAAUUUUACUUUGUAUGCUAAAACAUACCGUUAAUUUUUCAUGCAUCGAAAAACUUACUAAAAGUUAUGAUAAAAGAAUUAAAGGUGCUUAGACAUAAAUAUUAAACAAAAAUACUAUAAAUACAGAUGUUGUUUUAAGGAACACUGUCACACCUCCUCACCCAUCUUCCUAGCCCCUACACCCCCCUCCAACGCACUAUCCACCCUCCUUCCUCCCUCAACUCUAGCCCCUUAUUCCGCGACCUGGUAGCACUCCCAAUCAGCCCCUCAACCCCUUCCAGGAUUCUCAAGGCUGUAGCAAAUUUCCGAAAUUUCAAAGUCGAUAGAACUUUAGUCAAAACAACGCAACCAUGGUAAACUCGACAGAUCGCACCGACCCUCGUGCUGGCGAUGCAUCAUUCAAAUAUCUACCCUAUCAACUUUCGAUGGUAGGAUAGUUGCCUACCAUGGUGGUGACGGGUAACGGAGAAUUAGGGGUUCAAUUCCGGAGAGGGAGCCUGAGAAACAGCUACCACAUCUAAGGAAGGUAGCAUACACGCAAAUUACCUAAUCCUGACACGGGGAGGUAGUGACAAUAAAUAAUAAUAUCGAGCUCUUUAAGUUUGGUAAUUGGAAUGAGUACAAUCUAAAUCCCUUAACGAGGAUCCAUUGGAGGGCAAGUUUGGUGCCAGCAGCUGCGGUAAUUCCAACUCUAAUAGCGUAUAUUUAAGUUGUUACAAUUAAAAAGCUCGUAGUUGGACCUUGGGUUGAGUCGAUCAAUCCACCUUGUUGUGUGCAUUGGUCGUCUCAUCCCUUCUGCCAAUGAUGCGUGCCUAGCCUUAGUUGAUCGGGUCGUGCCUGUGGCGCUAUUAAUUUGAAGAAAUUAGAGUGCUCAAAGCAAAUCUACGCUCUGGAUAUAUUAGCAUGGGAUAACAUCACAGGAUUUCGUUCCUAUUGUAUUGGCCUUGGGAAUUGGAGUAAUGAUUAAGAGGGGCAAUCGGGGGCAUUCUUAUUUCAUAGUCAGGUGAAAUUUUUAGAUUUAUGAAAGACGAACAACUGCAAAAGCAUUUGCUAAGGAUGUUUGUAGGAUCGGGGGGGGUUUGAAUAUUACGCAUUGCUUUUUCACUCAUUUUGAUUUUGGAAAACACACAGAAAAUGCAACGGAAUAAACAAUGAAAAGACAAGCAACGCUAACAAGCUUUCUUUUACUUGGUUCGGAGCCUGUGGCGACUUCUACUCCAAGGCCCGCGAUUGUUGAUCACUUUCGUUGAGCGAUCACUAUAGAUUUGAAAAUUGAGUACAAGUACAAAUAUGCAGCUUACAAGUAUUGCACAAAAUUAAACUUAUUACCAACGUCUUGGAGAAAUAGAACUUCUAGCUUGAUCGUCGUCGGAGCAGCGUUUAGACGUUUUCAGAGUGCAUGCAAGAGCUCAAGUUGUUCUUCAAGAAUUGUUGUCGAAGCACUUGGUCGAGCCCUCCUUUUAUAGCCAAGCUUGAUCUCGGGAUCAAGUUUGACUCGCUGUCGAUCGGUUGAUCGAUCCUCCUGAUCGGUCAACCGAUCUCGCCUGAAUCGGUCAACCGAUCUCGCCUGAAUCGGUCGGCCUUCUAGUUCUUCUGUUCGGAUAUACUUUCUUCGUUCGAUCGACCGAUCCCGCCGUUCGGUCGAUCGAUCCCCAGCACAUCUGGUCCGAUCAAUUCGGCUCGGCCAUGUCACCGCUUAUCCCCGGUUCGGUCGACCGAUCCCUCGGUCGAACCUGGUCCACUAGUGGAACUCUGCUAUGUUUGCUUGGAGGUUCGGUCGACCGAUCCAAGCUGAACAUCAACCUGCAGAAUCAUUAGUCUUCCUGCAAAACAGAGUUAACACAUAGCAGAUAAUAUGUAAAUAAAUAACUUUGACAGCCUUCGGACUGUCCAGUUCUGACUUCGGAUUUCCUCCGGAAACCCUAGGUCGAACCGGUGCUUCCCUCACAAGGGAGCGCGUCCUCACCUACUCCUCUCAGGAGAAGUUACCUGUUGCCAGACCGGUCCUCCAGACCGACUAGACUUUUGCUCAGCGUCUGAUGCUUCCGGUCUUCAUGCUAGACGUCCGCUCCACGACCCGCCCAGACUUCCACCCGGUUCGCUACCACCAGGAUUUCAACCUAGAGUCCCCGACUCUAGGAUUUUGCCUGAAGCACUCGACCCACCAAGACUUUCCACCUAGGGUUACCACCCCCUAGGACCUAGGGUUACCAUCCCCUAGGGUUUUCCACCUGCUUAACCGCAGCUAAGACUUUUCCUCACCUAAGUUACCGCCCCCUAGGACCUAGGGUUACCACGCCCUAGGGUUUUCCACUUGCCUAGAAUCCACUAGAACUUUUGCCUAAGAACACUUAGGACUUUUCUUGCAAGCUCAAUCAACCUUGUUAGAUAACAAGACAACUUAACUUUGGACCCUUUGACAUAAUCAAAACCUAGGUUCGAUCGUCGGAUGCUUCCCGCACCAACAAUGUUUUCAUUAAUCAAGAACGAAAGUUAGGGGCUCGAAAAUGAUCAGAUAUCGUCCUAGUCUCAACCAUAAACGAUGCCGACCAGGGAUCGGCGGAUGUUGCUCUUAGGACUCCGCCGGCACCUUAUGAGAAAUCAAAGUCUUUGGGUUCCGGGGGGAGUAUGGUCGCAAGGCUGAAACUUAAAGGAAUUGACGGAAGGGCACCACCAGGAGUGGAGCCUGCGGCUUAAUUUGACUCAACACGGGGAAACUUACCAGGUUUAGAUAUAUAUAGCAAGGAUUGACAGAUUGAGAGCUCUUUCACGUGUGGCAAAAGGCAAUUCACUCAACCCAAUGCCUCCGUCAACUCGUCCCUAGGCCAACACGGAGGAGGUAAAUCACGGGUGGCUACUAGUCAUUAGUACAAGUGGCCAAGACAUGGGGGAGGCAUGGUCGGACGGGCCGAGUUUCGAACCUAAGACCUCAUGUGGCAACACCCCAUAUUUUAACCACCGCACCGUCCCGAGAGGACAAUUGAGAGCUCUUUCACUUUUUUUGAUGAAUAGGUAAAUAGAUCAUCG
RNAcentral lists this ribosomal RNA (4140 nucleotides) under Zingiber officinale. Its description in RNAcentral is "18S ribosomal RNA". The stretch from base 3429 to 4140 matches the Rfam family "Eukaryotic small subunit ribosomal RNA", at positions 1 to 1416 of the family's 1831-position model. Lineage: Eukaryota; Viridiplantae; Streptophyta; Magnoliopsida; Zingiberales; Zingiberaceae. The record is from RNAcentral.